This 2509-nucleotide long non-coding RNA is filed under the name Pan troglodytes (chimpanzee). RNAcentral's name for it is "long non-coding RNA NONPTRT002214". Lineage: Eukaryota; Metazoa; Chordata; Mammalia; Primates; Hominidae. The record is from RNAcentral.
CAAGGAGGCACUGGGGCUGGCCCCAGCCGGGGAAGACCUGCUGCGUAAGAGCCAGUGGGCUCGCUUCCCCAUGGUUUCUGAAGGAUGAAAACCGGGUUUCCUGCCCCGUCAUCUGGUCAGCAUACUUGGCUGUGCUGGCAGCCCUUGGCAACACCCAGAUGAGAUGCCAAGUGGAACCCCUGGGAGAUGACAGGACACCACCUCUGACCCCACAGAAACCCUGUCGGUGUGCACCAGUGCAUCCAGCUCUCAUGUCUCUGAGAUGACAUGGGUGUUUUGUGCAGACUGGGAUGACGGCAGCUUUGGGGCAGCAGAGGAGGCAUUUUUCAGAUGUUUUCAUCUUUGAAUGAACUUGGUGAUCUGGAUGUCUGCGGCAAGUCUCAGCUCUCUCUUUAUGAAUCAUCAUUAUUAUUAUGGUUCAGUUCAUGGUCUUCCCCAGGGCCUGGGUGCUGAUGCUUCCCCACUCCACACUCGAGCCUCAAGUAUAUGUGGACAGCCACAGUACACUGUGCAGCUGGUUUAGGACAAGUGUCUAUUCCAGUGGUCACUGUCCACUGGGGGAGGGCGUGCAGAGGGGUUUUCUUUGUUAAUGUUCUUGGGUUUCCAUGAUGCAACUGAGAAAUGGUGAUUGUGCAUUAUACCCAGUACCUCUGAGACUCCUUUCUGGCCCCCAGAUCCCUGGACACUGUUGAUCUAUUGGGUCCAGAAGCCUGGAGAAGGCCGGGUAACUGAAGCUGGUAGCCAGUUCAUGUUGAGAAGCAGAGGACUAGGUCUACACUGGCGCCCUCUGCAUUCAGGUCAAGGGCCAAAUGGGAAUGUGCAGAAGGCAAGGGGAAUCCACCCUCCUCACUGAAGCCUUUUAAGAAAAAAGCAUCCUGGAGAGAGGUAGUUUCUCUCUACAGAAGCAUUCCCAAGAAGGAAAGGAGCAAUGCUAGAAUGAGAAUACCACAGCUUUGCAACUCCUAACAAAUGGCGGAAUCUAGAGAAGAGGCAUCAAUGGCCACCAGCAUCACACCAAUACAGACAACCAGGCACGACGCGCCUCCUCGGGCACGAGCGCUCCCCGCUGACCAAGGAGUCUUGGCAAAGUUUUCGAACCUACACCUCAUGAAACCUCUAGAUCCAACCACCAAGUUAUAAAAAAGCAAAGAAACAUGUUUUAUGAUGCCAGGAGGAUAUAAUCAACAAAAUCCGGACUGCAUGAAACCCUAUAGGACAAAUGGCCCAGCUUCCUCAACAAAUGAAUUGCAAAGAAAUAAGAAAGAGAUGAAGGAGGAACCUAUGGUAUAAGAGACUCAUCAACCAACUGCAGUGCGUGGACUGAUUUGGAUCCAAAAUCAAAUAAACAAAUUUUCUUUCUUUCCUUUCUUCCUUUCUCUCUCCCUCUCCCCCUCCUUCCCUCCCUCCUUCCUUCUCUACCUUCCCUUCCUUCCUUUCUCUCUCUGUCUCUCUCCCUCUCUCUCUUUCUCUUUCUUUCCCUCCCUCCCUCUCUCUCUCUCUCUUUCUUUCCUUUCUUAAUUUCUUGACAUGGUCUCACUCUGUGCACUCUGUGGCCCAGGCUGGAGUGUAGUGGCAUGAUCACAGUUCACUGCAGCCUAGAACUCCUGGGCUUAAGUGAUCCUCCCACCCCAGCCUCCCACCUUAGCUGGGAGCACAGGCAUAUGCCACCAAGCCUGGCUAAUUUUUGUAUUUUUUGUAGAGAUGGGGUUUUUGCCAUGUGCCCAGGUUGAUCUGGAACUUCUGAGCUCAAGUGGUCUGCCCACCUUAGCCUCCCAAAGUGCUGGGAUUACAGGUGUGAGCCACCGUACUUGGGCCCCCCUUUUUUAUAAGAGAUGAGGGUCCCACUAUAUUGUCCAGGCUGGUCUCAAACUCCUGGGCUCAAGCGAUCCUCCUGCCUCAGCUUCCCAAGUAGCUGGGACUACAGGAGUGUGCCACUGUGCCUGGUUUAAACAAAUGUUUAAGAAACUUGACAUUUAUGAUGUAACUGGAAUUGGAACACUGGUAAUUUGUUGAUAUUGCUAUCUUUUUAAAGGUACAAUAAUGUAUUGUGGCUGUGUUGUUAGUAAACAGCCCUUAUCUGUUAGAAGUCAUUGUGAAAUAUUCAUAGAUAAAAUGAUGUCUGGAAGUAUGUGGAGGGGGUAAGAGCUGAAACAAAGGUGGCCAUGGGUGGUGAUUAUUGCAUCUGAUUGCAUAGGGUUUCAUUAUACUUUUCUGUUAUUUUUUGUGUAUGCUUGACUUUUCUCAUAAUAACAUAAUGUUUUGAAAAGAGUAAGGCAGGGCCUUGGCUGCUGGGAUGGUUAGUUUGGGUGAUGGUGGUGGAAAAUGGAAUCGUAACGGGAGGGACUCCUCCUAACACAGCAGCAAUAAAACAACUGUCAAUGACUAACUGCCUAGGAGCCCAGCACUGUGCUAAGCCCCAUCACAGCACCCCUAUGGGACAGGUACUAUUGCUAUCCUCCCUUACAGAGGAGGAAACGGAGGUUCAGGGAGGUUUAGAAACCUGCCAAAG